Molecule: long non-coding RNA, 228 nt
Filed under: Brassica napus (rape)
Lineage: Eukaryota; Viridiplantae; Streptophyta; Magnoliopsida; Brassicales; Brassicaceae
Description: long non-coding RNA (BNAP_LNC013967)
Source: RNAcentral
GAACAAUGGAGUAUGAUAGAAGUUUUUUUUUUUUGGGCAGCAAACGGCUAUUCUAUUACUCAAACUUAAGGUGGUAUGGGUAACCAGACCGGAAUAUAACAACCAAUAUAACAUAAAGGUCUAUGAAAAGAACGUUUAUUUCUAGCUAACGAAUCUGCAAUCACAUUUUGUGUCUGUGGGAUGUAGUUGAUCCUGAAGUCUGAAAACCACAACCGAAGAGUUUGAAUG